UACGGGGGGGGCAAGCGUUGUUCGGAAUUACUGGGCGUAAAGGGCUCGUAGGCGGCCAACUAAGUCAUACGUGAAAUCCCUCGGCUUAACCGGGGAACUGCGUCUGAUACUGGAUGGCUUGAGAUUGGGAGAGGGAUGCGGAAUUCCAGGUGUAGCGGUGAAAUGCGUAGAUAUCUGGAGGAACACCGGUGGCGAAGGCGGCAUCCUGGACCAACACUGACGCUGAGGAAGCGAAAGCCAGGGGAGCAAACGGG
Molecule: ribosomal RNA, 254 nt
Filed under: uncultured bacterium
Lineage: Bacteria
Description: partial 16S ribosomal RNA
Rfam family: Bacterial small subunit ribosomal RNA
Source: RNAcentral